Molecule: long non-coding RNA, 470 nt
Filed under: Malus domestica (apple)
Lineage: Eukaryota; Viridiplantae; Streptophyta; Magnoliopsida; Rosales; Rosaceae
Description: long non-coding RNA (MDOM_LNC011629)
Source: RNAcentral
CACGACAUCUAACUCUCCGUGGUUUGGCCGGAAAAUGCCUCGAAAGUUCCGGUCAAACUUUGAACUUUCCGAUCUCUGUGUUUUUGCGUCCAAAACUUCCAACGAAGCACUCCGAGCUUCCUAAGAACCUCCUUAAGCUCACUAUGAGCUUAAAAACUCCUAAAAAUCAACCAAUAAUUAUUGCAUGAACAGUGACUCAAACGGAGGUAAGUGGUUCGACGUGAAAACGGUGGAAAUCUUACCUGAAACUAGUAUGGAUGAACUCGUAUUGACGAGAUGAACACGAUGGUGAUCUUUGUUUCCUCGAUCUAUGAAGAUUUGGAGCUUGCUCAUGGAGUUGCAGAGGGAGAGAGGGCUCACGGGGAUAGAGAAAAAGAAGAAUAAGAAAUAUGGCGUGGGAGAGGGAGAAGAGAAAGAGAGAAAGAUGCUUCUCUGAUUGAGGUGGGGGACAGAACGUACAGAAAAAAAAA